UUAAGCGACUAAGCGUACACGGUGGAUGCCCUGGCAGUCAGAGGCGAUGAAGGACGUGCUAAUCUGCGAUAAGCGUCGGUAAGGUGAUAUGAACCGUUAUAACCGGCGAUUUCCGAAUGGGGAAACCCAGUGUGAUUCGUCACACUAUCAUUAACUGAAUCCAUAGGUUAAUGAGGCGAACCGGGGGAACUGAAACAUCUAAGUACCCCGAGGAAAAGAAAUCAACCGAGAUUCCCCCAGUAGCGGCGAGCGAACGGGGAGGAGCCCAGAGCCUGAAUCAGUGUGUGUGUUAGUGGAAGCGUCUGGAAAGGCGCGCGAUACAGGGUGACAGCCCCGUACACAAAAAUGCACAUACUGUGAGCUCGAUGAGUAGGGCGGGACACGUGGUAUCCUGUCUGAAUAUGGGGGGACCAUCCUCCAAGGCUAAAUACUCCUGACUGACCGAUAGUGAACCAGUACCGUGAGGGAAAGGCGAAAAGAACCCCGGCGAGGGGAGUGAAAAAGAACCUGAAACCGUGUACGUACAAGCAGUGGGAGCCUCUUUUAUGGGGUGACUGCGUACCUUUUGUAUAAUGGGUCAGCGACUUAUAUUCUGUAGCAAGGUUAACCGAAUAGGGGAGCCGAAGGGAAACCGAGUCUUAACCGGGCGUUAAGUUGCAGGGUAUAGACCCGAAACCCGGUGAUCUAGCCAUGGGCAGGUUGAAGGUUGGGUAACACUAACUGGAGGACCGAACCGACUAAUGUUGAAAAAUUAGCGGAUGACUUGUGGCUGGGGGUGAAAGGCCAAUCAAACCGGGAGAUAGCUGGUUCUCCCCGAAAGCUAUUUAGGUAGCGCCUCGUGAAUUCAUCUCCGGGGGUAGAGCACUGUUUCGGCAAGGGGGUCAUCCCGACUUACCAACCCGAUGCAAACUGCGAAUACCGGAGAAUGUUAUCACGGGAGACACACGGCGGGUGCUAACGUCCGUCGUGAAGAGGGAAACAACCCAGACCGCCAGCUAAGGUCCCAAAGUCAUGGUUAAGUGGGAAACGAUGUGGGAAGGCCCAGACAGCCAGGAUGUUGGCUUAGAAGCAGCCAUCAUUUAAAGAAAGCGUAAUAGCUCACUGGUCGAGUCGGCCUGCGCGGAAGAUGUAACGGGGCUAAACCAUGCACCGAAGCUGCGGCAGCGACACUGUGUGUUGUUGGGUAGGGGAGCGUUCUGUAAGCCUGUGAAGGUGUCUGUGAGGUAUGCUGGAGGUAUCAGAAGUGCGAAUGCUGACAUAAGUAACGAUAAAGCGGGUGAAAAGCCCGCUCGCCGGAAGGCCAAGGGUUCCUGUCCAACGUUAAUCGGGGCAGGGUGAGUCGACCCCUAAGGCGAGGCCGAAAGGCGUAGUCGAUGGGAAACAGGUUAAUAUUCCUGUACUUGGUGUUACUGCGAAGGGGGGACGGAGAAGGCUAUGUUGGCCGGGCGACCGGUUUGUCCCGGUUUAAGCGUGUAGGCUGGUUUCCCAGGCAAAUCCGGAAAAAUCAAGGCUGAGGCGUGAUGACGAGGCACUACGGUGCUGAAGCAACAAAUGCCCCUGCUUCCAGGAAAAGCCUCUAAGCAUCAGGUAACAUCAAAUCGUACCCCAAACCGACACAGGUGGUCAGGUAGAGAAUACCAAGGCGCUUGAGAGAACUCGGGUGAAGGAACUAGGCAAAAUGGUGCCGUAACUUCGGGAGAAGGCACGCUGAUAUGUAGGUGAAGUCCCUCGCGGAUGGAGCUGAAAUCAGUCGAAGAUACCAGCUGGCUGCAACUGUUUAUUAAAAACACAGCACUGUGCAAACACGAAAGUGGACGUAUACGGUGUGACGCCUGCCCGGUGCCGGAAGGUUAAUUGAUGGGGUCAGCGCAAGCGAAGCUCUUGAUCGAAGCCCCGGUAAACGGCGGCCGUAACUAUAACGGUCCUAAGGUAGCGAAAUUCCUUGUCGGGUAAGUUCCGACCUGCACGAAUGGCGUAAUGAUGGCCAGGCUGUCUCCACCCGAGACUCAGUGAAAUUGAACUCGCUGUGAAGAUGCAGUGUACCCGCGGCAAGACGGAAAGACCCCGUGAACCUUUACUAUAGCUUGACACUGAACAUUGAGCCUUGAUGUGUAGGAUAGGUGGGAGGCUUUGAAGUGUGGACGCCAGUCUGCAUGGAGCCGACCUUGAAAUACCACCCUUUAAUGUUUGAUGUUCUAACGUGGACCCGUGAUCCGGGUUGCGGACAGUGUCUGGUGGGUAGUUUGACUGGGGCGGUCUCCUCCUAAAGAGUAACGGAGGAGCACGAAGGUUGGCUAAUCCUGGUCGGACAUCAGGAGGUUAGUGCAAUGGCAUAAGCCAGCUUGACUGCGAGCGUGACGGCGCGAGCAGGUGCGAAAGCAGGUCAUAGUGAUCCGGUGGUUCUGAAUGGAAGGGCCAUCGCUCAACGGAUAAAAGGUACUCCGGGGAUAACAGGCUGAUACCGCCCAAGAGUUCAUAUCGACGGCGGUGUUUGGCACCUCGAUGUCGGCUCAUCACAUCCUGGGGCUGAAGUAGGUCCCAAGGGUAUGGCUGUUCGCCAUUUAAAGUGGUACGCGAGCUGGGUUUAGAACGUCGUGAGACAGUUCGGUCCCUAUCUGCCGUGGGCGCUGGAGAACUGAGGGGGGCUGCUCCUAGUACGAGAGGACCGGAGUGGACGCAUCACUGGUGUUCGGGUUGUCAUGCCAAUGGCACUGCCCGGUAGCUAAAUGCGGAAGAGAUAAGUGCUGAAAGCAUCUAAGCACGAAACUUGCCCCGAGAUGAGUUCUCCCUGACCCUUUAAGGGUCCUGAAGGAACGUUGAAGACGACGACGUUGAUAGGCCGGGUGUGUAAGCGCAGCGAUGCGUUGAGCUAACCGGUACUAAUGAACCGUGAGGCUUAACCUU
Molecule: ribosomal RNA, 2904 nt
Filed under: Escherichia coli DEC3A
Lineage: Bacteria; Pseudomonadati; Pseudomonadota; Gammaproteobacteria; Enterobacterales; Enterobacteriaceae
Description: bacterial LSU rRNA
Rfam family: Bacterial large subunit ribosomal RNA
Source: RNAcentral